RNAcentral lists this ribosomal RNA (251 nucleotides) under uncultured bacterium. RNAcentral's name for it is "partial 16S ribosomal RNA". It matches the Rfam family "Bacterial small subunit ribosomal RNA", at positions 526 to 776 of the family's 1533-position model. The record is from RNAcentral.
CGGGGGGGGCAAGCGUUGUUCGGAAUUACUGGGCGUAAAGGGCGCGUAGGCGGCCUGCUAAGUCGGACGUGAAAUCCCUCGGCUCAACCGGGGAACUGCGUCCGAUACUGGUGGGCUCGAAUCCGGGAGAGGGAUGUGGAAUUCCAGGUGUAGCGGUGAAAUGCGUAGAUAUCUGGAGGAACACCGGUGGCGAAGGCGGCAUCCUGGACCGGUAUUGACGCUGAUGCGCGAAAGCCAGGGGAGCAAACGGG